RNAcentral lists this transfer RNA (70 nucleotides) under Eumenotes sp. HEM140. RNAcentral describes it as "tRNA-Ile". Lineage: Eukaryota; Metazoa; Arthropoda; Insecta; Hemiptera; Dinidoridae. The record is from RNAcentral.
AAUAAGAUGCCUGAGCCUAAAGGACUAUUUUGAUAGAAUGGAUCAAGUAUGUAUAAUCAUACUCUUAUUA